RNAcentral lists this ribosomal RNA (1098 nucleotides) under fungal endophyte. RNAcentral describes it as "eukaryotic LSU rRNA". The stretch from base 514 to 1098 matches the Rfam family "Eukaryotic large subunit ribosomal RNA", at positions 1 to 599 of the family's 3401-position model. Lineage: Eukaryota; Fungi. The record is from RNAcentral.
GGAUCAUUACUGAGUGUAAAAACUCCCAAACCCACUGUGAACAUACCACUGUUGCUUCGGCGGAUCCGCCCCGGGCGCGCCCUCACAGGCGUGCCCCGGAACCAGGCGCCCGCCGGAGGACCCAAAACUCUUUGUUUCUUAUAGAGCAUCUCUGAGUGUGAUUUUACAAAUCAAAUCAAAACUUUCAACAACGGAUCUCUUGGCUCUGGCAUCGAUGAAGAACGCAGCGAAAUGCGAUAAGUAAUGCGAAUUGCAGAAUUCAGUGAAUCAUCGAAUCUUUGAACGCACAUUGCGCCCGCCAGUAUUCUGGCGGGCAUGCCUGUCUGAGCGUCAUUUCAACCCUCGCGCCCGGCUUCUUGCCGGGGGCGGUGUUGGGGAUCGGCCGCCCGUCACUGGGAGGCCGGCCCCUAAAUGGAGUGGCGACCACGCCGUAGCCUCCUCUGCGUAGUAGUAACUAACCUCGCAGGCGGAGAGCGGUGCGGUCCGCCGUAAAACCCCCCAACUUUCUAAGGUUGACCUCAGAUCAGGUAGGAAUACCCGCUGAACUUAAGCAUAUCAAUAAGCGGAGGAAAAGAAACCAACAGGGAUUGCCUCAGUAACGGCGAGUGAAGCGGCAACAGCUCAAAUUUGAAAUCUGGCCUUUGGCCCGAGUUGUAAUUUGCAGAGGAUGUUUCUGGCGAGGUGCCUUCCGAGUUCCCUGGAACGGGACGCCAUAGAGGGUGAGAGCCCCGUACGGUUGGUCGCUAAGCCUCUGUGAAACUCCUUCGACGAGUCGAGUAGUUUGGGAAUGCUGCUCUAAAUGGGAGGUAUACGUCUUCUAAAGCUAAAUACCGGCCAGAGACCGAUAGCGCACAAGUAGAGUGAUCGAAAGAUGAAAAGCACUUUGAAAAGAGGGUUAAAUAGUACGUGAAAUUGUUGAAAGGGAAGCGCUCAUGACCAGACUUGGGCCGGUUGAUCAUCCAUCGUUCUCGGUGGUGCACUCUGCCGGUUCAGGCCAGCAUCAGCUUGGUUCGGGGGAUAAAGGCUUCGGGAAUGUGGCUCUCUCCGGGGAGUGUUAUAGCCCGUUGUGUAAUACCCUGAGCUGGGCUGAGGUACGCG